UCACUUAAAGAGCGCAUAUGAUAACAUUGAAACAAUACAGAGGAAAAUAGCAAGGUUCCUAUUCAAUGAAAACAUGCAGAUUUGUGAAGAAUUUCAUAUUUUU
Molecule: small nuclear RNA, 103 nt
Organism: Sarcophilus harrisii (Tasmanian devil)
Lineage: Eukaryota; Metazoa; Chordata; Mammalia; Dasyuromorphia; Dasyuridae
Source: Ensembl